UGGGGAAUUUUGGACAAUGGGGGAAACCCUGAUCCAGCCAUCCCGCGUGUGCGAUGAAGGCCUUCGGGUUGUAAAGCACUUUUGGCAGGAAAGAAACGUCAUGGGUUAAUACCCCGUGAAACUGACGGUACCUGCAGAAUAAGCACCGGCUAACUACGUGCCAGCAGCCGCGGUAAUACGUAGGGUGCAAGCGUUAAUCGGAAUUACUGGGCGUAAAGCGUGCGCAGGCGGUUCGGAAAGCAAGGUGUGAAAUCCCUGAGCUCAACUUUGGAACUGCAUUUUUAACUGCCGGGCUAGAGUGUGUCAGAGGGAGGUGGAAUUCCGAGUGUAGAAGUGAAAUGCGUAGAUAUGGGGAGGAACACCGAUGGCGAAGGCAGCCUCCUGGGAUAACACUGACGCUCAUGCACGAAAGCGUGGGGAGCAAACAGG
RNAcentral lists this ribosomal RNA (429 nucleotides) under Acidobacteriota bacterium. Its description in RNAcentral is "Acidobacteria bacterium partial 16S ribosomal RNA". It matches the Rfam family "Bacterial small subunit ribosomal RNA", at positions 355 to 776 of the family's 1533-position model. The record is from RNAcentral. Lineage: Bacteria; Pseudomonadati; Acidobacteriota.